GACGAACGCUGGCGGCGUGCUUAACACAUGCAAGUCGAACGGAAAGGCCCUGCUUUUGUGGGGUGCUCGAGUGGCGAACGGGUGAGUAACACGUGAGUAACCUGCCCUUGUCUUUGGGAUAACUUCAGGAAACUGGGGCUAAUACCGGAUAGGAGCUCCUGCUGCAUGGUGGGGGUUGGAAAGUUUCGGCGGUUGGGGAUGGACUCGCGGCUUAUCAGCUUGUUGGUGGGGUAGUGGCUUACCAAGGCUUUGACGGGUAGCCGGCCUGAGAGGGUGACCGGCCACAUUGGGACUGAGAUACGGCCCAGACUCCUACGGGAGGCAGCAGUGGGGAAUAUUGCACAAUGGGCGGAAGCCUGGUGCAGCAACGCCGCGUGCGGGAUGACGGCCUUCGGGUUGUAAACCGCUUUCGCCUGUGACGAAGCGUGAGUGACGGUAAUGGGUAAAGAAGCACCGGCUAACUACGUG
This 468-nucleotide ribosomal RNA is filed under the name uncultured bacterium. RNAcentral describes it as "partial 16S ribosomal RNA". It matches the Rfam family "Bacterial small subunit ribosomal RNA", at positions 28 to 507 of the family's 1533-position model. The record is from RNAcentral.